UAAUGAUGUAUUAUCAUGUGUAGGGGUGGAUGGUAUCGAAAAUGACAUUCCCCUUACCCACAAGCUGAAAUUGAAGCUACACGACUCUACUGCCCUUGUAACAAGGCUACUUGUCAGCCCUCAUGCCCCUGCUAAUCUACUAGGCAGUGAUAUACUGUCUGCUCUUAGUGCAAAUAUCCAGUAUAGCCCCACUGGAAAAGUAACAUUGUCUGUGCCUUUAGAGGACAAACAAAUUAUAUCUCUUUCAAAUGUUCUGGCAACUCUCACUAUGCCCAGCCAUGUGCCAGAACCUACCAUUGACUUGUCCUCAGUCCCUGAUUCCUUAUGGGCUACAGGGAAGACAGAUACAGGCAGACUCUCUGUGCCCCCAGUCAAAGUGAAUCUCCUGCCCGGAGCCAAACCUCCC
Pelobates cultripes (western spadefoot toad) is the source of this 406-nucleotide non-coding RNA. The record is from the annotation of a GenBank genome assembly. NCBI's taxonomy places the organism in Eukaryota, Metazoa, Chordata, Amphibia, Anura, Pelobatidae.